This is a long non-coding RNA of Gymnodraco acuticeps, 855 nucleotides long. RefSeq lists it as uncharacterized. The transcript is spliced from 6 exons. The record is from RefSeq and is a predicted model, not a curated record. Lineage: Eukaryota; Metazoa; Chordata; Actinopteri; Perciformes; Bathydraconidae.
GUUUUGCAAUGUGAAGGUGACAUGCAUUAGCCAAAUGUACGGUGGCCGGCAGGUGCAAAUGCGGAACAACGCCCAAAAACGCAUACAUCAGCAGGAAACAGCUGCAAAUCCUAAAAUGAAAAACAACAAAUCCUGAAAACAAAUACAACCAAAAAACGCUCCAUUUACAGAAAUGAUGCAAACUAAAUACAACACACAAACCCCGAAAACAAACGCAAAAAAACCCCGCUGCAAAUACCAAAACGAUAUGCAAAGUCCAAAGCACAUACAAAUCCCAAAACACAUUUAAAAAAAAAAACUUUCUGGAAGUGCUCCAGGCCUCUAGGUGGCGCGCUGCGUGGAACAGAUUGAUGUCUGACAAGACAUAAAGAAAGCGAACAAGAGUGCUGCAAAUUGAAGCCGGAGGAAACAAAGUUGAUCGAAGUGGAAAAAGUCGAUAUAUAAGAAGUCAGUCAUUUGUGUGUAUGCAGGUGUGGGACAUUCCAAAUGUUCCAAAAGUGAGCACUCCACGAAUGGACAACAGUUUGCCAGGGCCUCUCAGGCACCCACAACCAGCGUCUGAUCGGGAUAGAGCACCAACCCUAUUCCAGGAAGAGGUCUAGUCUGGUUCUGGGUCAGAACCACUUCUAUAGCAACUACACAUGUGUGUCCACUUAGCCAGUCUGAGCCAGAAGACAAAAUGGAGCAAAGCACAGAAUACCUGACUGCGGAGGACAUUGUUGCAGAACUCUCUGCAAAAAUAACAAAUACAUCUUGCAGCAGGUUCAAUAUUAAUAGAGCCAAUAUGUGGGAUGGAGCAAUCCGCGGCUUCAAAGGUGCCUCAUUCGACAACACACCUCACUCCAUAAUCGUUCA